Arvicola amphibius (Eurasian water vole) is the source of this 1450-nucleotide long non-coding RNA. RefSeq lists it as uncharacterized. The record is from RefSeq and is a predicted model, not a curated record. The transcript is spliced from 3 exons. NCBI's taxonomy places the organism in Eukaryota, Metazoa, Chordata, Mammalia, Rodentia, Cricetidae.
AAAUAAACCGGAAAGCAACAGAAGAGUGUUUCUAGGUUUAAUGUGAGGUGGCUACAGAAAGGACGUAGUAGCCUGAAGUUUGGCAUUCACCAAGAAAGAACUAAGUCUUCCGAGUACUGGGACUGACCUCAGCCCUAUAGGAUGAUGCGGCCCACUGUCAGGGUGGGUGUUAUCUUCUCAUUUAAACGUCUCUGGAUAUACCUUUGCAGGCACAUCUCUUAGAUUGAUGCCUGCCCAAUUGUCAUCAGAGAGGCUUCAUCCAGCAGCUGAUGGAAGUAGAUGCAGAGAACCACAGUCGAACAUUAGUUGGAGCUCAGAAAAUCCUGUGGAAGAAAGGAAAGAAAGAUGCAGAGGAGUCAAGGACACGACAAGAAAACCCACGGAAUCAACUAACCUGGGCUCCUAGAGCCUCACAAAGACUGAAUUGACAAUCAUGGAACUAACCUAGGCCCUUUGCAUAUAUGUUACAGUUGUGUAGUUGGCCUUCUUAUGGGAUUCCUAACAGUGGAAGUGGAAGCUGUCUCUGUCUCUGUUGCCUACUUUUGGGACCCCUUUCCUCCUACUGGGUUACCUCCUCCAGACUCAAUAUGAGGGGAGAUGUCUAGUCUUGUUGCAACUUGAUAUGCCAUGUUUGGUUGAUAUCCCUGGGAAUCCUGUCCUUUUCUGAAGGGAAAGGAGAAGGAGUGGUUGUGGGUAGGGUGGAGAGAACUGGGAGGGGAUGGGAGAGAGGAACACGGUCAGGAUGUAAUAUUUGAGAGAAGAACAAAUUUAAAAAUUAAUUUAAAAAUUCUACUAUGAGUUGGGGUGAAGCUCACAAGCCUCAACCUCUAGCUGAGGGCCUAUUGUAAUGUUCUGAGCUUCUUUAUAUGGUUCUAUACCUGAAAACUCAUGCAGAAAAUGUCAUACAUGCUCCAGAAAGCCUCAGAAAGUGUCAUUGUCCCAAGCUGGUUAUGGCUAUAGGUUAGCAAGAAGUUCCUUUUUACAAAGACAAGAUGUAUCAAUAUUGGAAGACAAUUUAAAAAUAUAUAAUUCUGGACUUGUACAAACCAGUAAUUAGUAACCGUGAAGUGUCAUGUGUAGAAUUCCACCUUUAAAUGGGUUACAUAGCCUUUAAAAGAAUUUGUUUCUAAAUUUUUCUUUUGAUAGGCAGAACGUUUUUCUUCCUAAGUGACACAUCUUUAUUUGUUGAGAUUAUUCCACAAUCACUCAUUUUUAUAAACAUAAGAAAGAACUCUGGUAUUUUUGGAAGGUACAUAGGAAGAGUCAAAUGAGUAAUUAAAGAAAUAUGGAGGUCCUAAAUUACUUUAUACUUGAAUAAAUUAAUAAAUUGUUUUACUUAAAGGACUGAGACAUUUAAUGAUAAAAAUACUGAGAAGCCAAGGACAAUGGCACUGGGUUUUGAUCCUACUGCAUGCACUGGCUUUGAGGGAGCCUAGUCUGUUUAGGUGCG